RNAcentral lists this long non-coding RNA (206 nucleotides) under Sorghum bicolor (sorghum). RNAcentral's name for it is "long non-coding RNA (SBIC_LNC001932)". The record is from RNAcentral. Lineage: Eukaryota; Viridiplantae; Streptophyta; Magnoliopsida; Poales; Poaceae.
GGAGUUCACAAGUUCUCAUCGAGUUUACAAAUGGCUGUGGGACAAUUCUCGCCAAAAUAAAAGAAAAUUCUUCUUCUGGUUACUACUCAAAGACAUACUUGGUACAAGAGAGUUAUUAAGAAGAAAGCACAUGUUUUGAAACUAUAGGGUCGAAGAAUCUCUUUCACAUCUCUUCUUUGACUACCCCUUCGCUCAGGCUUGCCGGA